AUGAACGCUGGCGGCGUGCCUAAUACCUGCAAGUCGAGCGAACAGACGAGGAGCUUGCUCCUCUGACGUUAGCGGCGGACGGGUGAGUAACACGUGGAUAACCUACCUAUAAGACUGGGAUAACUUCGGGAAGCCGGAGCUAAUACCGGAUAAUAUAUUGAACCGCAUGGUUCAAUAGUGAAAGACGGUUUUGCUGUCACUUAUAGAUGGAUCCGCGCCGCAUUAGCUAGUUGGUAAGGUAACGGCUUACCAAGGCAACGAUGCGUAGCCGACCUGAGAGGGUGAUCGGCCACACUGGAACUGAGACACGGUCCAGACUCCUACGGGAGGCAGCAGUAGGGAAUCUUCCGCAAUGGGCGAAAGCCUGACGGAGCAACGCCGCGUGAGUGAUGAAGGUCUUCGGAUCGUAAAACUCUGUUAUUAGGGAAGAACAAAUGUGUAAGUAACUAUGCACGUCUUGACGGUACCUAAUCAGAAAGCCAUGGCUAACUACGUG
Molecule: ribosomal RNA, 496 nt
Filed under: uncultured bacterium
Lineage: Bacteria
Description: partial 16S ribosomal RNA
Rfam family: Bacterial small subunit ribosomal RNA
Source: RNAcentral